Molecule: long non-coding RNA, 846 nt
Organism: Oreochromis niloticus (Nile tilapia)
Lineage: Eukaryota; Metazoa; Chordata; Actinopteri; Cichliformes; Cichlidae
Exons: 2
Source: RefSeq, a predicted model, not a curated record
UGUUUUCAUCUUAAACCAUUGUCAGUGACGUCAUUCUACGCGACUACCACAGGUGAAGGUGCUGCCCACCCAUGAUGCCAGCAAGGUGCGUGCAAGUGGAUCCGGCCUUAAAACCACUGGAGUGCCCAGCUCUCUGCCAGUGAAGUUCAACAUUGAUGGCAAAGAUGCAGGUGAGGGACUGCUGGCAGUGCAGAUCACUGUGAGCGCAUGUGAUCUGCUAUUCCUCUUUGAAUAGUACGCUGGUUGCCCCCGGAGUUCGAGUCUCCGGGAGGAAAUCCUGGUGGUUUGAGGCCCCAGGCUUGUGUUGGGUACGGUCCAUCACAAGGACAUUGGCUCGAGCGCGCUGUUGGGGAGAAGCCGGCCCAGACCUGUGUUCGAUCCAAGUACGCCACAGGGACAGCGGUUCGGGUACGCUGUCGGAGUCCAUUUCUGCAUACUAUAGUGCACGGAGUGGUGGUGUUCGUUCCUUGGUCCGUAGAAGGCAAGGGCCUCACGGGGGACGCCUCGUGUAGUAAAAUGGGAUCUAGAUCCAGUAGAGCGGCAGACGUUUCACCAGGCGGCCAGGGACAAAACUCAAUGUGUGACUGUAUGGUAAGAACUGAGUAAAUGUGUGGUGUGUAAGAUUGCAGAGAAUGGUUGUGUGGGAAAAGUUGAUGUGUGUGUAAAAAAAAAAAAAAAAAAACAGUGAAAAAUUGGGUUCAAAAUGUUGAAAAUGGGGAACAAAAAACAAGAAAAGAAAAAAGAGGAGUGUAAAAGUCGUCUCGUCUCCAACUAGCGGAAGGUGGUGGUCCUGCAGACCACCAGCUCCCCUAGUGUGGACACACAAAAAAUUUCUUUUUAGCAGAA